Molecule: ribosomal RNA, 253 nt
Filed under: uncultured bacterium
Lineage: Bacteria
Description: partial 16S ribosomal RNA
Rfam family: Bacterial small subunit ribosomal RNA
Source: RNAcentral
UACGUAGGGUGCGAGCGUUGUUCGGAAUCACUGGGCUUAAAGGGCGCGUAGGCGGGCCGGACGGUCCGGGGUGAAAUCCCCCCGCUCAACGGGGGAACGGCCUCGGACACCGCCGGCCUCGAGGGGGGUAGGGGCGAGCGGAACGCUGGGUGGAGCGGUGAAAUGCGUUGAUAUCCAGCGGAACUCCGGUGGCGAAGGCGGCUCGCUGGACCCCUUCUGACGCUGAGGCGCGAAAGCCAGGGGAGCGAACGGG